UACGUAGGGUGCAAGCGUUAAUCGGAAUUACUGGGCGUAAAGCGUGCGCAGGCGGUGAUGUAAGACAGUUGUGAAAUCCCCGGGCUCAACCUGGGAACUGCAUCUGUGACUGCAUUGCUGGAGUGCGGCAGAGGGGGGAUGGAAUUCCGCGUGUAGCAGUGAAAUGCGUAGAUAUGCGGAGGAACACCGAUGGCGAAGGCAAUCCCCUGGGCCUGCACUGACGCUCAUGCACGAAAGCGUGGGGAGCAAACAGG
This 254-nucleotide ribosomal RNA is filed under the name uncultured bacterium. Its description in RNAcentral is "partial 16S ribosomal RNA". It matches the Rfam family "Bacterial small subunit ribosomal RNA", at positions 524 to 776 of the family's 1533-position model. The record is from RNAcentral.